RNAcentral lists this ribosomal RNA (1635 nucleotides) under Triticum aestivum (bread wheat). Its description in RNAcentral is "partial small subunit ribosomal RNA". The record is from RNAcentral. Lineage: Eukaryota; Viridiplantae; Streptophyta; Magnoliopsida; Poales; Poaceae.
AUGAGAGUCCAACAUACGUUAGACCCAGCUCACCAGACAAAAAGAAAGAAAGAACAACCUCUAAACUCAAGGGGUAGAAAGCGGACAAGGACUGCAGAGGGAAGAAGAAAUGCGAACACAGAGGCUCCUAAACGAUUGAGAAAGGCUAAUGCUGAAGAAGAUAGGGAAUUGAAGCGCGCCAGAAGCGAAACCAACAAAAACAACACUAGAGUCAAUGUUGGAGACAACAACAGAACCAAAACCUCGACAAGUGCUAAUAGCAAGCCAUGGAACUUCGGAAGGCCAACAUACAAAUGCCAAUAUUGCAAAGCAUUGCUAUGGUGUGAAGAAAGAUUAAAUUCAAACAAAGGAACUACGACACCCUCUUUUGGAAUAUGCUGCAAACAAGGGAAAAUCGAUCUGCCGCCACUAAGAGAACCUCCACCAUACCUUAGAAACCUCUUAAGAAGUGAAGGGCAGGAUUCGGUAAACUUCAAAGAAAAUAUAAGGUCAUACAACUCAAUGUUUUCAUUCACAUCGAUGGGAGGAGCUGUGGACAAGGAAAUAAACACUCGCAAAGGACCUUAUGUUUUUCAUUUGCAUGGACAAAACUACCACCAUAUCGGAACUCUUUUGCCUCAAGGUACAGACAAACCUCAGUUCGCACAACUAUACAUCUAUAAUACCGAAAUUGAGGUGGAAAACAGGAUAAGUGCGUCAAGAUGCAAUGAUAAUAAAUCAACAGUGAACCCCAACAUCGUCAAAGAACUGAAGAUAAUGCUCGACGACAACAAUAUCCUCGCAAAAACAUUCAGAAUGGCAAGAGACAGAUUCCAAGAAGGAGACUACCAUGAUUACACACUUCGGAUACUAGGCAAAAGGAACGGAACACACAACCUUCCAUCCGCAUCUAAAGUUGCAGCAUUGGUAGUAAGAGAUCCAACCGGAGAGAGUAAAGGACGUGACAUUGUUGUUGAGUACAAAAAUAUGGAGCCGCAAAGGAUAUCAGAGAUCCACCCAAAAUUCAUGUCCAUGCAAUAUCCGUUGUUGUUCCCAUAUGGAGAAGAUGGUUUUAAACUUGAGAUACCCUACAAGAAAACAAAAGGAGGUACAAACAGCAGGAAAUACGUAACAUUGUUGGACUACUAUGCAUUCUACCUACAGCAACGUCCUGAUCAAGGAAUGUUACUACUCAAGUCCGGGCAUUUGUCACUGCAAUUUUGGGUGGAUGUAUACACAUGUAUCGAGCAAAAUAGACUAAACUGGAUCCGACACAAUCAAGGAAAGCUACGAACUGAACUUUACAGUGGAUUACGGGAUGCAAUUGAGCGAGGGGACACAAGAACAGAGCAAGUUGGAAAGAGGAUAAUUGUGCCUUCAUCUUUUACAGGUGGUAGAAGAAACAAGGCACACUAUUUGCAAGAUGCCUUUGCAAUAUGUCGUUGGGAUGGAUACCCAGACCUAUUUAUAACAUUCACAUGCAAUGCAAAGUGGCCUGAGAUCCAAUACAUGCUAGAUGAAGCGGGAGGUGGCCAAAAGCCAGCCGAUCGGCCAGAUAUUGUGGACAGAGUAUUUAUGAUCAAACUAAAGGAGCUAAUGAGAGACAUAAAAGAAAAGAAAUACUUUGGAGAAACAGUUGCAAGUAAGUACCAUUGA